UACGUAGGGUGCGAGCGUUGUCCGGAAUUAUUGGGCGUAAAGAGCUCGUAGGCGGUCCGUCGCGUCGAAUGUGAAAACCCGGGGCUCAACUCCGGGCUUGCAUUCGAUACGGGCGGACUAGAGUUCGGUAGGGGAGACUGGAAUUCCUGGUGUAGCGGUGAAAUGCGCAGAUAUCGGGAGGAACACCGGUGGCGAAGGCGGUUCUCUGGGCGUUACCUGACGCUGAGGAGAGAAAGCGUGGGGAGCGAACAGG
RNAcentral lists this ribosomal RNA (253 nucleotides) under uncultured bacterium. RNAcentral's name for it is "partial 16S ribosomal RNA". It matches the Rfam family "Bacterial small subunit ribosomal RNA", at positions 524 to 776 of the family's 1533-position model. The record is from RNAcentral.